CCAAUUUCAAUGUCCAUUUAUGGGCUUGAAAACCCCCACCCUUGUUUAUUUAACCUCUGUUGCCUCGGCGGGUUCGCCCGCCAGAGGACUAUUCUAAACUCUUGUUGUAAACGGCGUUUGUCUGAGCUACAAAGCAAUUGUUUA
This 144-nucleotide unclassified non-coding RNA is filed under the name uncultured Rhytidhysteron. RNAcentral describes it as "sequence contains ITS1". The record is from RNAcentral. Lineage: Eukaryota; Fungi; Ascomycota; Dothideomycetes; Hysteriales; Hysteriaceae.